CAAGCCAGGGGCGGCAAAACACACCGGUAACUUUCUCUCAACAGCUCCCGAAACUUUGGGAGGACACGCACCUUCCAACAGCUCCAACCGGGAGAGCUUCCAGACCUCCCCCGAAACUGCAAAGGAAGCCCGGAGAAAGCUGAGGAAACUUAAGGCAGAGCAGGGUAUCUCCAGCAAGGAGAAGUUCUCAUCGCUCGGCUGGGCUCCCCUCCGGAGGACGGCUCUCACCCGCCCACCCCAAACGCCGACAUGGCACGCUUCGAAGGCUGACCAGCGACGCCUGCCCAGCCGACUGCCCCCGGCUCUGCCCCGGGGACCGGCGGCCACCGCCAGCCGCUUCUCCCGGAGGAGGAGAAGGGACGCGCGGCUCCCUCCCGCGGCCCCGCUCGCCCCCCGGCCGCUGGACGGAGAGGAGAAGCCCCGAGGGGAGCCCGCCCCCCCCACCCCACUCACCCAGCAGCGCCCGGAGGUGCUUGAGGCGGGGCUAGAGAGAGGAGGAGGUCUUCAAGGGAAGUUCUCCAGGGAAAAUCCUGCCUGUGAGUCCUGAUGCAGCAGGUCACCACCUUCUCUGAAAAACAGAGCCGGGUCCACAGCCCGCAGAGGGACAGGUCUGGUUUUGAAGAGAAGAGCUGCCCAAGUCUGGGGGAAGACCCAUAGCAAAAGCUGAGCCAACGGGUCCUAUGGAUGGAGGUGUUGCAGAGUCACGCACGGGAACAUCCCUGGCUUUACCUGGCCAGAUUUUCCAUCAGCAGAUUACAAGGUUAUCCCCAUGAAUGGCUCUGCUGGCAGAGGGACGGGGUCUUCCCCGGCGUGGGCUCAGCACCGGCCUCCUGCCCUGCACCGACGGGGAGAGCAGGGUCCGGCCAUCGCCGCUCACUCUCCCGCUCCUCCAGCACCUGCGGCUCUUCACAUCCCUCUUUAA
Molecule: long non-coding RNA, 922 nt
Organism: Chroicocephalus ridibundus (black-headed gull)
Lineage: Eukaryota; Metazoa; Chordata; Aves; Charadriiformes; Laridae
Exons: 4
Source: RefSeq, a predicted model, not a curated record